GACGAACGCUGGCGGCGUGCUUAACACAUGCAAGUCGAACGGUGAAGCGCCUUCCUUUUUGGUGGGUGUGGAUGAGUGGCGAACGGGUGAGUAACACGUGAGUAACCUGCCCCCUUCUUCUGGAUAACCGCAUGAAAGUGUGGCUAAUACGGGAUAUUCUGGGUCUGUCGCAUGAUGGGUCUGGGAAAGAUAUUGUUUCGGUGGGGGAUGGGCUCGCGGCCUAUCAGCUUGUUGGUGGGGUGAUGGCCUACCAAGGCGGUGACGGGUAGCCGGCCUGAGAGGGUGGACGGUCACGCUGGGACUGAGACACGGCCCAGCCUACUACGGGAGGCAGCAGUGGGGAAUAUUGCACAAUGGGCGCAAGCCUGAUGCAGCGACGCCGCGUGAGGGAUGGAGGCCUUCGGGUUGUGAACCUCUUUCGCCAGUGAAGCAGGCCUGCCUCGUUUGUGGGUGGGUUGACGGUAGCUGGAUAAGAAGCGCCGGCUAACUACGUG
Molecule: ribosomal RNA, 494 nt
Filed under: uncultured bacterium
Lineage: Bacteria
Description: partial 16S ribosomal RNA
Rfam family: Bacterial small subunit ribosomal RNA
Source: RNAcentral